This is a small nuclear RNA of Oryctolagus cuniculus (rabbit), 103 nucleotides long. NCBI's taxonomy places the organism in Eukaryota, Metazoa, Chordata, Mammalia, Lagomorpha, Leporidae. The record is from Ensembl.
GUGCCUGCUUAGGCAGCACAUAUAUGCAAAUUGGAAUGAUAGAAAGUAAGCCUGGCCCCUGCACAAUCAUGACAUACAAAUUUGUGGAGCAUUCCAUGUUUGC